UACGUAGGGACCAAGCGUUGUUCGGAUUUACUGGGCGUAAAGGGCGCGUAGGCGGCAUGACAAGUCACUUGUGAAAUCUCCGGGCUUAACUCGGAACGGCCAAGUGAUACUGUCAAGCUAGAGUGCAGAAAGGGCAAUCGGAAUUCUUGGUGUAGCGGUGAAAUGCGUAGAUAUCAAGAGGAACACCUGAGGCGAAGGCGGGUUGCUAGGCUGACACUGACGCUGAAGCGCGAAAGCCAGGGGAGCAAACGGG
This 253-nucleotide ribosomal RNA is filed under the name uncultured bacterium. RNAcentral's name for it is "partial 16S ribosomal RNA". It matches the Rfam family "Bacterial small subunit ribosomal RNA", at positions 524 to 776 of the family's 1533-position model. The record is from RNAcentral.